GACGAACGCUGGCGGCGUGCUUAACACAUGCAAGUCGAACGGAAAGGCCCCUUUGGGGGUACUCGAGUGGCGAACGGGUGAGUAACACGUGAGUAACCUGCCCUUGACUUCGGGAUAACUUCAGGAAACUGGGGCUAAUACCGGAUAGGAAUCCUUGCUGCAUGGUGGGGGUUGGAAAGCUUCGGCGGCUUUGGAUGGACUCGCGGCUUAUCAGCUUGUUGGUGGGGUAGUGGCUUACCAAGGCUUUGACGGGUAGCCGGCCAGAGAGGGCGACCGGCCACAUUGGGACUGAGAUGCGGCCCAGACGCCGACGGGAGGCAGCAGUGGGGAAUAUUGCACAAUGGGCGGAAGCCUGAUGCAGCAACGCCGCGUGCGGGAUGACGGCCUUGGGGUUGUAAACCGGUUUCAGCAGGGGCGAAGCUUGUGGUGACGGUACCUGCAGAAGAAGCACCGGCUAACUACGUG
This 465-nucleotide ribosomal RNA is filed under the name uncultured bacterium. RNAcentral's name for it is "partial 16S ribosomal RNA". It matches the Rfam family "Bacterial small subunit ribosomal RNA", at positions 28 to 507 of the family's 1533-position model. The record is from RNAcentral.